RNAcentral lists this ribosomal RNA (301 nucleotides) under uncultured bacterium. RNAcentral's name for it is "partial 16S ribosomal RNA". It matches the Rfam family "Bacterial small subunit ribosomal RNA", at positions 509 to 807 of the family's 1533-position model. The record is from RNAcentral.
CAGCCGCCGCGGGAAUACGGAGGGUGCAAGCGUUAAUCGGAAUUACUGGGCGUAAAGCGCACGCAGGCGGUUUGUUAAGUCAGAUGUGAAAUCCCCGAGCUUAACUUGGGAACUGCAUUUGAAACUGGCAAGCUAGAGUCUUGUAGAGGGGGGUAGAAUUCCAGGUGUAGCGGUGAAAUGCGUAGAGAUCUGGAGGAAUACCGGUGGCGAAGGCGGCCCCCUGGACAAAGACUGACGCUCAGGUGCGAAAGCGUGGGGAGCAAACAGGAUUAGAUACCCGUGUAGUCCCUGUCUCUUAUAC